This is a long non-coding RNA of Prosopis cineraria, 775 nucleotides long. RefSeq lists it as uncharacterized. NCBI's taxonomy places the organism in Eukaryota, Viridiplantae, Streptophyta, Magnoliopsida, Fabales, Fabaceae. The transcript is spliced from 3 exons. The record is from RefSeq and is a predicted model, not a curated record.
GCUUUCGCAGUUUUGCCGCGUUUGCAUGAGCAUGAAUGGGAGAGAGGGUUACAGCCUGCAAGGUUGGAGAUUGAAGAAGAAGGGAAGCAAUCCAACGACAUAUAUAAGGUCCCAUAUGCAAAAUAACCUUUCAGCUCCUGAACUUGCGCUAUAUCAUGGAGAGUGGUCUGAUUCCUGGAAAAAUCUAUAGCUGCCCAAUCAAUUUGGUGUGAUCUCUGAUUGUUCCUCUUUUUUUUUUUUUUUGGGCGAGAUUCAUUUGAUUUGCUUCGAGUCUUAUUGCCAGCAAGAACGCCUGCGCUCUUCUUUUCAAUGAGGAUACAAUUUCGUGAAGUGCCCGAAUUUCAAUAUUUUGUGAUCCUGUAACUGGAUUUUCACUUUUGAGUUCUGAUAUUUUGUACCUUGCCUCUUACAGCGUGGAGCGUGGGCUGCCAUUCUUUAUAUAUUUUUUUUUCUGUUACUAAAAAUGCUAUGCUCGACACUUGUUGAGCUAGCUGCAGACUGGAUUAUGGACUCCUCCGUAUUUUGUUGAACCUUUGCCGGCUCUGUUGCCUGUAGUCCUGGAUUUUCAUACUCACCUCGUGGAUGUGGGUUUGAAAUGAAGAGAACUGGAUUAUGAAUGUGUACAUUUUUGUUGGCUUGUUAUCCACGGAUCAAUUCUUUCGUCUGAAUAAAUCUCCCAGCAUGGUUCCUGUCCGAAAACUGAGAUUACAGAUGAACUCCAGCCAUGCUCACAACUAAAGGCGGAGUCAGGAUCCUAGGUCGGGAAUAAUGGUGA